Molecule: ribosomal RNA, 206 nt
Filed under: uncultured bacterium
Lineage: Bacteria
Description: partial 16S ribosomal RNA
Rfam family: Bacterial small subunit ribosomal RNA
Source: RNAcentral
UACGGAGGGUGCAAGCGUUAUCCGGAUUCACUGGGUUUAAAGGGUGCGUAGGAGGGCAGGUAAGUCAGUGGUGAAAUCCCCAGCUUAACUUGGGAACUGCCGUUGAUACUAUCUGUCUUGAAUACCGUGGAGGUGAGUGGAAUAUGUCAUGGUAGCGGUGAAAUGCUUAGAUAUGACAUAGAACACCAAUUGCGAAGGCAGCUCGC